AUUUUUAACGGUCAUUUAUCUGAUGAUCAUUUGAAGAGGAAGUCCAACGUUCAUUACGGAACACUCAACAUACAGAAUCAGCUUAAAUCAGAGUAUAGAAUCGCUAAAGUGGAACUAUAUUGUAGAAGAUCAGGGAAUCCAAAAGUGGGGAUUACUAGUAUUUCCAAGUACCAAGUACGGAUAGCGUAAAUACAGUGAGCAAGUGGAGCUGCAAGUAAUUUUGAGUUGGUUACUGUGAGCUAGGACACUCGAAUCGUGAUCAGACAGGUCGAGGUGUUAUCAGACAAUAUCAUGGCAUCCAGAUCUAUUCUUUUCUCACUCUGUGUGAUUCUAUUGAUCUAUACUGUCAACUCCAGAAAUCCCUUACAAGAAGCUUACGCUAACAUACGAUGUGGCCGAGUAGGCUACAGUCUUAAUGUCGAGGUCCACAACUGCGAGAAAAAGACCGUUGCUGUAAACAUUUGCCGGGGUACAUGUCUGUCUGCUUCGACACCCAGUGGAUCCCAAGAAGAGCAAGUCCCAAUGUGCACGUGCUGUACUGAGACGCAAAUAGAAACGAUAUCAGUUGGACUAUGGUGCAGAAGUGGGCCAAAUAGUGCAGAUUAUAAGACGUAUUAUCAUCAAGUUAAAAGUGCUGUAGAGUGUUCCUGCACUCCUUGUUAAAGAUAACGACUCAGAGCCUUAUAGGUCAAAUACAUAGAUCUCAACUAUAUAUAUAUCUUAUUACUGUACUGUAUGCAUAAAUACAGGGACUGACUGACUGCACCUGAAGUGUGUGCGUGCACCCACCACUUCCAAUUCAAUAGGACGAAGUUUGUGACUGCUUAAAUCAAACAAAAUAAAGAAAUAGUAGGUACUCGUUGUCCAUCAACGACCUAUAACUGUGCUUGUUUGCUUAA
Long non-coding RNA from Actinia tenebrosa (Australian red waratah sea anemone), 899 nucleotides. RefSeq lists it as uncharacterized. The record is from RefSeq and is a predicted model, not a curated record. Lineage: Eukaryota; Metazoa; Cnidaria; Anthozoa; Actiniaria; Actiniidae.